Molecule: transfer RNA, 70 nt
Filed under: Marmota marmota marmota (Alpine marmot)
Lineage: Eukaryota; Metazoa; Chordata; Mammalia; Rodentia; Sciuridae
Also listed under: 1 other name
Rfam family: tRNA
About the family: Transfer RNA (tRNA) molecules are approximately 80 nucleotides in length. Their secondary structure includes four short double-helical elements and three loops (D, anti-codon, and T loops).
Source: Rfam by way of RNAcentral
UGGGUUGUGGCUCAGGGGUAGAGCGCUUGCCUAGCAUGUGUGAGGCACUGGGUUCGAUUCUCAGCAUCAA